UACGGAGGGGGCUAGCGUUGUUCGGAUUUACUGGGCGUAAAGCGCACGUAGGCGGAUGGUUAAGUCAGGGGUGAAAUCCCGCAGCUCAACUGCGGAACUGCCUUUGAUACUGGCCAUCUCGAGUCCGGAAGAGGUGAGUGGAACUCCUAGUGUAGAGGUGGAAUUCGUAGAUAUUAGGAAGAACACCAGUGGCGAAGGCGGCUCACUGGUCCGGAACUGACGCUGAGGUGCGAAAGCGUGGGGAGCAAACAGGAUUAGAAACCCCGGUAGUCC
RNAcentral lists this ribosomal RNA (273 nucleotides) under uncultured bacterium. RNAcentral describes it as "partial 16S ribosomal RNA". It matches the Rfam family "Bacterial small subunit ribosomal RNA", at positions 524 to 796 of the family's 1533-position model. The record is from RNAcentral.